UUUUUUUUUUUUUUUUGGGAGCCGGAGAUUUGCUGUUGUUGCCCAGGCUGGCGGCUCCCCUCCAUUGUGCAAUGAUGCAACCUCUGCUCACUACAACCUCCACCUCUAGGCUUCAAGCAAUUCUCCUGCCUCAGCCUCCUAAGUAGCUGGAAUUACAGAGACUGGGUUCUUCCAAACUGUCCAGGUUGGUCUUGAACUCCUGGGGUGAAGCGAUCCUCCCACCUGGGCCUCCCAAAGUGCUGGGAGGCCUGAGCCACUGUGACUACCUGAUAUGUCUCUUCUCUCUUGCUGCUUUCAAAAUCCUGUCUUUUGUGGGAGGGCAGCCGCCGGGCCCUGGACUUCUAUGGGGUCAUCCACUGAGGACAGGAGGACCGGGCCCUGUACAGGCUCUAGUACCAAUCCUGGCUCUUUGCCCCAGGAGCAAAUUAAAAGGCAGCUUCGAUUUUCAACCAUGGAUCUGAUGACUUUCAACAAACCUUCCUGAGAAAAUGCUGUUCCCACCAGAAGAGAUCUCAGGACAAAUGUAGACAGCCCUGCCCACAGGGGAGAUGGUCCGGCCAGUGUGGGGGCUAAUGAAUAAAUGCUACACUGUGCCCACUCAGGUCACAACCCCCAGGAGACCUGGAGAACUGAAUGCUGCUGCCCCCAAGGAGGAGGCUGCUGUCUUAUCCCAGGAGGGAGAGCAGGAAAAUAAAAAGGUUCAAAAGGAAGUUGCUGCGUAUCCAUCUGAGGCCUCUGAGGACAGCAAAGAGC
This 753-nucleotide non-coding RNA is filed under the name Pongo abelii (Sumatran orangutan). The record is from RNAcentral. Lineage: Eukaryota; Metazoa; Chordata; Mammalia; Primates; Hominidae.